CAAUAGCGUAUAUUAAAGUUGUUGCAGUUAAAAAGCUCGUAGUUGGAUUUCGGGGCAGCCUGGCUGGUCAGCCGCAAGGCGAGUACUGGUCAGCCGCCCUUCCUCUCGAAAGCCCCGACUGCUCUUCGUUGCAGUGGUCGGGUAGUUCGGGACGUUUACUUUGAAAAAAUUAGAGUGUUCAAGGCAGGCCUACGCCUGAAUACAUUAGCAUGGAAUAAUGGAAGAGGACCUCGGUCCUAUUUUGUUGGUUUCCAGGGCCGAAGUAAUGAUUAAGAGGGACAGUUGGGGGCAUUCGUAUUUAAUUGUCAGAGGUGAAAUUCUCGGAUUUAUGAAAGACGAACAACUGCGAAAGCAUUUGCCAAGGAUGUUUUCAUUAA
Molecule: ribosomal RNA, 377 nt
Filed under: uncultured eukaryote
Lineage: Eukaryota
Description: partial 18S ribosomal RNA
Rfam family: Eukaryotic small subunit ribosomal RNA
Source: RNAcentral